This 2343-nucleotide long non-coding RNA is filed under the name Oryctolagus cuniculus (rabbit). RNAcentral's name for it is "lncRNA (ENSOCUG00000038609.1)". Lineage: Eukaryota; Metazoa; Chordata; Mammalia; Lagomorpha; Leporidae. The record is from RNAcentral.
GGCACCGGAAGGUGAGCUUUCUCGCUGGCUCCCGAACACGCCCUGUGUGGAUCUGGUGACGGCGGCUCUGUGAGUCAUGUCGCUCUGAGUCACGCGCCUGUGACUCGAGCUUUUUUUGGGAGUCCAAAGGGUACAGAAAAACAGUCGUGAUGGCAGAGGCAGGGUGGGGAGGAGGAGGGAGGAGGAGAAGCGGGAGGGGGAGUGCGCGAGGGUUAGCUCCAGAGAGAAACCGACGUUUCUAGAAAAAGCCCGGGGAGGCAGCCCGGCACCCGGGACGUCCUGCAGCGGGCCGCGCGCGGGGAACUUCAGUAAACGUCUCUCCCAGGGAGGGAGGGGGAAGUGACCGGGCACAGGGACGGCAGCGGCUGUGUGCGCCCGGGCAGUGGCCUUUUCCGCCAGGACUGACUGCUCUCGGGGACCAGGGGUUGCCCCAGCUGUGGGGCCACGGCACCCAGUGACUGAGACAUGGUGGAGUGAGCAGUCCCCCAACACGUCCACGGCGAGAGGCUGAGACCCCUGCCCUUGUCCGGCCUGCUGUUCCGUGUUCUGGAAAGCGCCGGCAACGCCUCGCUGUCCCGCCUGGAGAGGGCUCCUGACCUAGAAUGCAGAGUGCCAGAACGUGCGAGAAGACCGCUGAGUCAUCGUCCACGCUCAGUUCGUUCCGCCCUCGGAUCCGUCCUUUGCAGGCACCCGGAGAGGGCGGCUUCAGAGCUGGCACCAACGGCAACGCGGCAGAGCCCCAGCAACAGAGUCGGGAUUGGCAGCACCGUCGAACGCCUGAGCGCAAGGUGCAACGAACGUUUGUUCCCCAUGGAGGUGACGUCAGAGAACUCGGUGGGGAAAGCUGGCUGUCCUUGGUCACAGAUUAUAUAACCAAAAAAGGCUCAAGUUUAUGCGCAGUCGAGCAGUUGGAUGUCGGGCACGCAGAGGGCCCCGGAUCCCACCUGCCAGCGGCUUGUCAGUCACUCGGAAGGCACAGGAGCACGCCCCGAGUGGCCACCGCGGCCGGCGCUGACGCGUGCACACUUCUGGAGGCCAGGAGCCCUGAGUCACGGUGCCGGCCAGGUUGGUUCCUCCUGGGGCCCCUCCCGGCAGCUCCCGGGGGAGGGCGGUGGCACUUGGUAGCCUGUGGCUUGGUCUCCUUCCUGCCCGUGGCCUUCCCCUCCCUCCCCUUCUCUCUCCGCAGUGCACACAUCACGGCGCCCCUGGUGAGAGCCCCCAGAUGCUGGCAUCGCACCGGCCUUCCUUCUGCGAAGACGUCCUGUGGCCCGGGCAGGCGCAGCGGUGAGGGCCUCUUUCCAGUCCACGCAGAACCAGCGCCUUGUCCUCGGUCUGCAACUUGACUCUAAAUCAGAAGGUGCUUAGUGCCAACCAUCGGAGAAGCCUGCAGCUGGGAGUUCUCAUCACCGCCGCCUGUCGGUCCUGCUGGGCCAGGCACACGAGGGGACGCCAGCAGGACACACGGGCAGCUCACGUUUCCUGUCCUGGAUCUGACGUUAAGAAAACGCAGCAAGACCCAUUUUCAUUCACCAAGCGGAAGAGAGAUCCUCAGUGAGAGCCAAGGAGCCACCGGGCUGCACCCCACGGAGCAUAGCGGUCUCUCCCCAAGUCCUCCGCGUUAGGGGGCAGACGGCUGUGUGAGCCGUGCAGCGCUGGGAGGGCUCAGUCCGCAUGGCCGUGUGCUGUCCCGUCUCCUCACCCCUGUGCCCCCCUCCCCACUUGGUCCAACAGAGGCACAGCUCUGCCUCCAGACGGUCCUCUCCACUCCUCGCCUUCCUCCUCCAGGCAAACUCUGCAUUUUAAAUUUUUUUCUUUUUCCCCAAAGCAAAUCUCUCUCUGUCUGUCUCUGUCUCUAGGAACCGAGGUGAGACUCACAUAACAUGACCGUCCCCAUUCUAACGUGGCGCUUGGCGCAUCCUGGCUCUGUCUAGUUCCCCAGAAGGGAACCCGCACCCACAUUCAGGCCUCCCCGUGUUCUCCCCCAGCCCCUUGCUACCUGUCCCCAAGAUUUGGGUCAUAAGAAAAAGGGGGGAACCCCAACAAAAUGCAUAAGCGUCACAGGCCAAGCACGAAGUUUGGUCUACUUAGAGUCUAGGAGCAAGCUUUCUCUGUGAAUUCUGGCGAGUCGACUUUGCUCCGCGGGCAGGGCCCUCCCCGUGACCGCGGCUGUGGGUACCUCCGGAUUUUGCCCAGCGACUGGCGGAAUCUAUUUCUACAGCACAGAGCCCGCUGCUGCCCGCGCUGGCCAGGUGGUGCCGGGCGCAGCCCACAGCCGCGGCCGGCGCGGGUGCUGGGGAGCGCAGGACGCGUGGACCCCUGCUCGCCGCGUGAAACGCCUUUUCA